RNAcentral lists this non-coding RNA (148 nucleotides) under Gorilla gorilla gorilla (western lowland gorilla). Lineage: Eukaryota; Metazoa; Chordata; Mammalia; Primates; Hominidae. The record is from Rfam by way of RNAcentral.
GCCAGGUGUGGUGGUGCGCACCUGUUGUCCCAGCUACUCAGGAGGCUGAGGCAGGAGAAUUGCUUGAACCCAGGAGGCAGAGAUUGCAGUGAGCCGAGAUCGUGCCACUGCACUCCAGCCUGGGUGACACAGCAAGACUCUGUCUCAA